GCCAGACUCCUACGGGAGGCAGCAGUGAGGAAUAUUGGUCAAUGGGCGAGAGCCUGAACCAGCCAAGUCGCGUGAGGGAAGACGGUCCUAUGGAUUGUAAACCUCUUUUGCCGGGGAGCAAAAAGCGGUACGCGUACCGCAUCGAGAGUACCCGGAGAAAAAGCAUCGGCUAACUCCGUGCCAGCAGCCGCGGUAAUACGUAGGGUGCGAGCGUUAAUCGGAAUUACUGGGCGUAAAGGGUGUGCAGGCGGCUGAGUAAGACAGAUGUGAAAUCCCCGGGCUUAACCUGGGAACCGCAUAUGUGACUGCUUGGCUAGAGUGCGUCAGAGGGAGGUGGAAUUCCACGUGUAGCAGUGAAAUGCGUAGAUAUGUGGAAGAAUACCGAUGGCGAAGGCAGCCUCCUGGGACGCAACUGACGCUCAUACACGAAAGCGUGGGGAGCAAACAGGAUUAGAUACCCCAGUA
RNAcentral lists this ribosomal RNA (465 nucleotides) under uncultured bacterium. Its description in RNAcentral is "bacterial SSU rRNA". It matches the Rfam family "Bacterial small subunit ribosomal RNA", at positions 330 to 792 of the family's 1533-position model. The record is from RNAcentral.